Molecule: ribosomal RNA, 1439 nt
Filed under: Symbiotaphrina desertorum
Lineage: Eukaryota; Fungi; Ascomycota; Symbiotaphrinales; Symbiotaphrinaceae
Description: eukaryotic LSU rRNA
Source: RNAcentral
GGGACGUUGGCAACGACGACCCAGUGCCGGAAAGUUCGUCAAACUUGGUCAUUUAGAGGAAGUAAAAGUCGUAACAAGGUUUAUCCUUCCAGUAUUACUACUGAAGCCUUGUACAUCAUCCUACCCGCGAAUCUUCACUGACUCGGUAGGCGACACUGCCAAAAUGCUGAGAACUCGCCCGAGACAAUCAGCAGCCGCCARCGCGGUCCACAGAUCAGACGGCAGUGGUCAGACGGUCACCUCGAGUGACCCGCCUGGCUAAAAUAUGACCGGUUCUAGGUAGAAAUGCCUACGAGUCCACGUUCCGUAGGUGAACCUGCGGAAGGAUCAUUAACGAUUUUGGCCCUCCGGGGCCGAUCUCCAACCCUUUGUGUACCUUACCUUGUUGCUUUGGCGAGCCGUCGUCGCCCCCCGGGGUGAUGCCGCUGGCCUCACGGCUAGUGAGUGCUCGCCGGAGUCCACCAAAACUCUGAUUUAUCAUGCAGUCUGAGUAAAUAUAUCAAAUAUAUUAAAACUUUCAACAACGGAUCUCUUGGUUCUGGCAUCGAUGAAGAACGCAGCGAAAUGCGAUAAGUAAUGUGAAUUGCAGAAUUCAGUGAAUCAUCGAAUCUUUGAACGCACAUUGCGCCCUUUGGUAUUCCGAAGGGCAUGCCUGUUCGAGCGUCAUUUCACCACUCAAGCUCAGCUUGGUAUUGGGCCAUCGUCCGGUUAAACGGACGUGCCUGAAAAUCAGUGGCGGUGCCCAUCCGGCUUCAAGCAUAGUAACUUUUAUCUUGCUUUGGAACGUCCGGAAGGUGCGCCCGCCAGAAUCCAUUUUCUCAAGGUUGACCUCGGAUCAGGUAGGAAUACCCGCUGAACUUAAGCAUAUCAAUAAGCGGAGGAAAAGAAACCAACAGGGAUUGCCCUAGUAACGGCGAGUGAAGCGGCAACAGCUCAAAUUUGAAAUCUGGCCCUUUCAGGGUCCGAGUUGUAAUUUGUAGAGGAUGCUUCGGAAUGGUCCCAGUCUAAGUUCCUUGGAACAGGACGUCGCAGAGGGUGAGAAUCCCGUAUGUGACUGGGUAACCGGCCCAUGUGAAGCUCCUUCGACGAGUCGAGUUGUUUGGGAAUGCAGCUCUAAAUGGGUGGUAAAUUUCAUCUAAAGCUAAAUAUUGGCCAGAGACCGAUAGCGCACAAGUAGAGUGAUCGAAAGAUGAAAAGCACUUUGGAAAGAGAGUUAAAAAGUACGUGAAAUUGUUGAAAGGGAAGCGUUUGCAACCAGACUUGCCUGCAGUUGAUCAGCCGGUGUUCUCACCGGUGCACUCUUCUGCAGUCAGGCCAGCAUCAGUUCGGGCGGUUGGAUAAAGGUUGGAGGAAUGUAGCUCCCCCCGGGGAGAASUUAUAGCCUCCGGCGUCAUGCAGCCUGCCUGGACUGAGGACCGCGCAUUUGCUAGGAUGCUGGC